This 207-nucleotide ribosomal RNA is filed under the name uncultured bacterium. RNAcentral describes it as "partial 16S ribosomal RNA". It matches the Rfam family "Bacterial small subunit ribosomal RNA", at positions 568 to 774 of the family's 1533-position model. The record is from RNAcentral.
CGUGUAGGCGGCCAAACAGGUCCGUUGUGAAAACUGGAGGCUUAACCUCCAGACGUCGACGGAAACCGUAUGGCUAGAGUCCGGAAGAGGAGAGUGGAAUUCCUGGUGUAGCGGUGAAAUGCGCAGAUAUCAGGAAGAACACCAAUGGCGAAGGCAGCUCUCUGGGACGGUACUGACGCUGAGACGCGAAAGCGUGGGGAGCGAACA